RNAcentral lists this small RNA (77 nucleotides) under Xanthomonas oryzae. RNAcentral's name for it is "sX9". The record is from RNAcentral. Lineage: Bacteria; Pseudomonadati; Pseudomonadota; Gammaproteobacteria; Lysobacterales; Lysobacteraceae.
AUCGACCAUCCGUGCGCUGCGGUUCCAAGUGCGCCAUCCACACUGCUCUGACGACCGCUUGCUACGUGUUGGUCGCC